Molecule: long non-coding RNA, 204 nt
Filed under: Capsella rubella
Lineage: Eukaryota; Viridiplantae; Streptophyta; Magnoliopsida; Brassicales; Brassicaceae
Description: long non-coding RNA (CRUB_LNC003178)
Source: RNAcentral
UGGAAUCAAGGCGAGGAUGAAGGCGAUGAUCUAGAGUCGAUGAGUAUGGUGUUAUGUUUUAUUUAAUUGUUUUGGAAUCAUGGAAUUAGAAGCAUGUUAGGAUUGCUAGAUUUUCUUGAAUGAUUAUUGGUUCUUGGUUAUUGGAUAAUUUGUUGGAUAUUGGUUUAUUUAGUUGAAUUAUUGGAUUAAAAUAUUUGAUUUCCG